This is a non-coding RNA of Acanthosepion pharaonis, 105 nucleotides long. The record is from the annotation of a GenBank genome assembly. NCBI's taxonomy places the organism in Eukaryota, Metazoa, Mollusca, Cephalopoda, Sepiida, Sepiidae.
UUACGGCCAUAUCAUGUUGAAACUGCGGUUCUAGUACGAUCACCGACGUUAAGCAACGUCGAGCCUGGUCAGUACCUAGAUGGGUGAACGCUUGGGAUUUGUAAG